CAUAGGUUAAUGAGGCGAACCGGGGGAACUGAAACAUCUAAGUACCCCGAGGAAAAGAAAUCAACCGAGAUUCCCCCAGUAGCGGCGAGCGAACGGGGAGGAGCCCAGAGCCUGAAUCAGUGUGUGUGUUAGUGGAAGCGUCUGGAAAGGCGCGCGAUACAGGGUGACAGCCCCGUACACAAAAAUGCACAUGCUGUGAGCUCGAUGAGUAGGGCGGGACACGUGGUAUCCUGUCUGAAUAUGGGGGGACCAUCCUCCAAGGCUAAAUACUCCUGACUGACCGAUAGUGAACCAGUACCGUGAGGGAAAGGCGAAAAGAACCCCGGCGAGGGGAGUGAAAAAGAACCUGAAACCGUGUACGUACAAGCAGUGGGAGCCUCUUAAUGGGGUGACUGCGUACCUUUUGUAUAAUGGGUCAGCGACUUAUAUUCUGUAGCAAGGUUAACCGAAUAGGGGAGCCGAAGGGAAACCGAGUCUUAACUGGGCGUUAAGUUGCAGGGUAUAGACCCGAAACCCGGUGAUCUAGCCAUGGGCAGGUUGAAGGUUGGGUAACACUAACUGGAGGACCGAACCGACUAAUGUUGAAAAAUUAGCGGAUGACUUGUGGCUGGGGGUGAAAGGCCAAUCAAACCGGGAGAUAGCUGGUUCUCCCCGAAAGCUAUUUAGGUAGCGCCUCGUGAAUUCAUCUCCGGGGGUAGAGCACUGUUUCGGCAAGGGGGUCAUCCCGACUUACCAACCCGAUGCAAACUGCGAAUACCGGAGAAUGUUAUCACGGGAGACACACGGCGGGUGCUAACGUCCGUCGUGAAGAGGGAAACAACCCAGACCGCCAGCUAAGGUCCCAAAGUCAUGGUUAAGUGGGAAACGAUGUGGGAAGGCCCAGACAGCCAGGAUGUUGGCUUAGAAGCAGCCAUCAUUUAAAGAAAGCGUAAUAGCUCACUGGUCGAGUCGGCCUGCGCGGAAGAUGUAACGGGGCUAAACCAUGCACCGAAGCUGCGGCAGCGACACUAUGUGUUGUUGGGUAGGGGAGCGUUCUGUAAGCCUGUGAAGGUGGCCUGUGAGGGUUGCUGGAGGUAUCAGAAGUGCGAAUGCUGACAUAAGUAACGAUAAAGCGGGUGAAAAGCCCGCUCGCCGGAAGACCAAGGGUUCCUGUCCAACGUUAAUCGGGGCAGGGUGAGUCGACCCCUAAGGCGAGGCCGAAAGGCGUAGUCGAUGGGAAACAGGUUAAUAUUCCUGUACUUGGUGUUACUGCGAAGGGGGGACGGAGAAGGCUAUGUUGGCCGGGCGACGGUUGUCCCGGUUUAAGCGUGUAGGCUGGUUUUCCAGGCAAAUCCGGAAAACCAAGGCUGAGGCGUGAUGACGAGGCACUACGGUGCUGAAGCGACAAAUGCCCUGCUUCCAGGAAAAGCCUCUAAGCAUCAGGUAACAUCAAAUCGUACCCCAAACCGACACAGGUGGUCAGGUAGAGAAUACCAAGGCGCUUGAGAGAACUCGGGUGAAGGAACUAGGCAAAAUGGUGCCGUAACUUCGGGAGAAGGCACGCUGAUAUGUAGGUGAAGCGACUUGCUCGUGGAGCUGAAAUCAGUCGAAGAUACCAGCUGGCUGCAACUGUUUAUUAAAAACACAGCACUGUGCAAACACGAAAGUGGACGUAUACGGUGUGACGCCUGCCCGGUGCCGGAAGGUUAAUUGAUGGGGUUAGCGGUAACGCGAAGCUCUUGAUCGAAGCCCCGGUAAACGGCGGCCGUAACUAUAACGGUCCUAAGGUAGCGAAAUUCCUUGUCGGGUAAGUUCCGACCUGCACGAAUGGCGUAAUGAUGGCCAGGCUGUCUCCACCCGAGACUCAGUGAAAUUGAACUCGCUGUGAAGAUGCAGUGUACCCGCGGCAAGACGGAAAGACCCCGUGAACCUUUACUAUAGCUUGACACUGAACAUUGAGCCUUGAUGUGUAGGAUAGGUGGGAGGCUUUGAAGUGUGGACGCCAGUCUGCAUGGAGCCGACCUUGAAAUACCACCCUUUAAUGUUUGAUGUUCUAACGUUGGCCCCUAAUCGGGGUUGCGGACAGUGUCUGGUGGGUAGUUUGACUGGGGCGGUCUCCUCCUAAAGAGUAACGGAGGAGCACGAAGGUUGGCUAAUCCUGGUCGGACAUCAGGAGGUUAGUGCAAUGGCAUAAGCCAGCUUGACUGCGAGCGUGACGGCGCGAGCAGGUGCGAAAGCAGGUCAUAGUGAUCCGGUGGUUCUGAAUGGAAGGGCCAUCGCUCAACGGAUAAAAGGUACUCCGGGGAUAACAGGCUGAUACCGCCCAAGAGUUCAUAUCGACGGCGGUGUUUGGCACCUCGAUGUCGGCUCAUCACAUCCUGGGGCUGAAGUAGGUCCCAAGGGUAUGGCUGUUCGCCAUUUAAAGUGGUACGCGAGCUGGGUUUAGAACGUCGUGAGACAGUUCGGUCCCUAUCUGCCGUGGGCGCUGGAGAACUGAGGGGGGCUGCUCCUAGUACGAGAGGACCGGAGUGGACGCAUCACUGGUGUUCGGGUUGUCAUGCCAAUGGCACUGCCCGGUAGCUAAAUGCGGAAGAGAUAAGUGCUGAAAGCAUCUAAGCACGAAACUUGCCCCGAGAUGAGUUCUCCCUGAGACUUAGAGUCUCCUGAAGGAACGUUGAAGACGACGACGUUGAUAGGCCGGGUGUGUAAGCGCAGCGAUGCGUUGAGCUAACCGGUACUAAUGAACCGUGAGGCUUAACCUU
Molecule: ribosomal RNA, 2741 nt
Filed under: Escherichia coli
Lineage: Bacteria; Pseudomonadati; Pseudomonadota; Gammaproteobacteria; Enterobacterales; Enterobacteriaceae
Description: partial 23S ribosomal RNA
Rfam family: Bacterial large subunit ribosomal RNA
Source: RNAcentral